GAUGAACGCUAGCGGCAGGCCUAACACAUGCCAGUCGAGGGAGAAGCCCUUUCGGGGGCAGAAACCGGCGCACGGGUGCGUAACGCGUAUGCAACCUACCUUUCACAGGGGGAUAGCCCGAAGAAAUUUGGAUUAAUACCCCAUAAUAUUGUUGGAUGGCAUCAUUUGGCAAUUAAAACUGCGGUGGUGAAAGAUGGGCAUGCGUCCUAUUAGCUAGUUGGAGUGGUAACGGCACCCCAAGGCUACGAUAGGUAGGGGUCCUGAGAGGGAGAUCCCCCACACUGGUACUGAGACAGGGACCAGACUCCUACGGGAGGCAGCAGUGAGGAAUAUUGGUCAAUGGUCGGAAGACUGAACCAGCCAUGCCGCGUGCAGGAAGAAUGCCUUAUGGGUUGUAAACUGCUUUUAUAUGGGAAGAAUAAGGCGUACGUGUACGUUGAUGACGGUACCAUAUGAAUAAGCAUCGGCUAACUCCGUG
This 478-nucleotide ribosomal RNA is filed under the name uncultured bacterium. Its description in RNAcentral is "partial 16S ribosomal RNA". It matches the Rfam family "Bacterial small subunit ribosomal RNA", at positions 28 to 507 of the family's 1533-position model. The record is from RNAcentral.